AUACUUACCUCUCAGGGGAGAUACCAUGAUCACCAAGGUGGCUUCCCAGGGCGACCAGCCAUUGCACUCUAGAUGUGCUGACCCAUGAGAGUUCUCCAAAUGUGGGAGACUUGACUGCAUAACUUGUGGUAGUGGGGGACUGCAUUGGCAUUCUCCUC
Small nuclear RNA from Tupaia belangeri (northern tree shrew), 158 nucleotides. Its record names the gene U1. It matches the Rfam family "U1 spliceosomal RNA". From Rfam's summary of the family: U1 is a small nuclear RNA (snRNA) component of the spliceosome (involved in pre-mRNA splicing). Its 5' end forms complementary base pairs with the 5' splice junction, thus defining the 5' donor site of an intron. There are significant differences in sequence and secondary structure between metazoan and yeast U1 snRNAs, the latter being much longer (568 nucleotides as compared to 164 nucleotides in human). NCBI's taxonomy places the organism in Eukaryota, Metazoa, Chordata, Mammalia, Scandentia, Tupaiidae. The record is from Ensembl.